This 294-nucleotide small nuclear RNA is filed under the name Phascolarctos cinereus (koala). Its description in RNAcentral is "7SK RNA (ENSPCIG00000019337.2)". It matches the Rfam family "7SK RNA". Rfam says of the family: 7SK was discovered as an abundant small nuclear RNA in the mid-70s but a possible function has only recently been suggested. Lineage: Eukaryota; Metazoa; Chordata; Mammalia; Diprotodontia; Phascolarctidae. The record is from Rfam by way of RNAcentral.
AGAUGGGAAGGUGACCUGGCUUUGACAUCUGUCAGCCCAAUGAUCAACAGGGCAGAUUUGGUCAACAUGGCUGACUACGCAAUUGUUGUCUUCCUCCUUUCUUCUUCGCUCUAGGUAGGUCCUUUCUAAAACUGUGUUCUUGAACCACACAGAAUUAUUGUUCUAAUGUCAAGGGGAUUUGAUUAAUAACUUUCCCCUGGUGGAAACUCUAGGUGAUCUCCCCAGGUCCACUUGCAGGAGGAGGAGCUAUGUUUUUAGGAGCCCUCUGGUUCAAGAGACUGGCAGUUUCCACUU